Molecule: ribosomal RNA, 348 nt
Filed under: uncultured Desulfobulbus sp.
Lineage: Bacteria; Pseudomonadati; Thermodesulfobacteriota; Desulfobulbia; Desulfobulbales; Desulfobulbaceae
Description: bacterial SSU rRNA
Rfam family: Bacterial small subunit ribosomal RNA
Source: RNAcentral
ACAGGUGCUGCAUGGCUGUCGUCAGCUCGUGUCGUGAGAUGUUGGGUUAAGUCCCGCAACGAGCGCAACCCUUGCCUUUAGUUGCCAGCAGUUCGGCUGGGCACUCUAAAGGGACUGCCGGUGUUAAACCGGAGGAAGGUGGGGAUGACGUCAAGUCCUCAUGGCCUUUAUGACCAGGGCUACACACGUACUACAAUGGCCGAUACAAAGGGCAGCGACACUGCGAGGUGAAGCCAAUCCCGUAAAAUCGGUCUCAGUCCGGAUUGGAGUCUGCAACUCGACUCCAUGAAGUUGGAAUCGCUAGUAAUCGUGAAUCAGAAUGUCACGGUGAAUACGUUCCCGGGCCUU